RNAcentral lists this ribosomal RNA (466 nucleotides) under uncultured bacterium. RNAcentral's name for it is "partial 16S ribosomal RNA". It matches the Rfam family "Bacterial small subunit ribosomal RNA", at positions 28 to 507 of the family's 1533-position model. The record is from RNAcentral.
GAUGAACGCUGGCGGCGUGCUUAACACAUGCAAGUCGAACGAUGAAGCCCAGCUUGCUGGGUGUGUUAGUGGCGAACGGGUGAGUAACACGUGAGUAACCUGCCCUUAACUCUGGGAUAAGCCUGGGAAACUGGGUCUAAUACCGGAUAGGAGCGUCCACCGCAUGGUGGGUGUUGGAAAGAUUUAUCGGUUUUGGAUGGACUCGCGGCCUAUCAGCUUGUUGGUGAGGUAAUGGCUCACCAAGGCGACGACGGGUAGCCGGCCUGAGAGGGUGACCGGCCACACUGGGACUGAGACACGGCCCAGACUCCUACGGGAGGCAGCAGUGGGGAAUAUUGCACAAUGGGCGCAAGCCUGAUGCAGCGACGCCGCGUGAGGGAUGACGGCCUUCGGGUUGUAAACCUCUUUCAGUAGGGAAGAAGCGAAAGUGACGGUACCUGCAGAAGAAGCACCGGCUAACUACGUG